CCAGACUCCUACGGGAGGCAGCAGUGGGGGAUAUUGCACAAUGGGGGAAACCCUGAUGCAGCGACGCCGCGUGAGGGAAGACGGUUUUCGGAUUGUAAACCUCUGUCUUUGGGGACGAAUUAAGACGGUACCCAAGGAGGAAGCUCCGGCUAACUACGUGCCAGCAGCCGCGGUAAUACGUAGGUGGCAAGCGUUAUCCGGAUUUACUGGGUGUAAAGGGCGUGUAGGCGGGGACGCAAGUCAGAUGUGAAAACCAUGGGCUCAACCUGUGGCCUGCAUUUGAAACUGUGUUUCUUGAGUACUGGAGAGGCAGACGGAAUUCCUAGUGUAGCGGUGAAAUGCGUAGAUAUUAGGAGGAACACCAGUGGCGAAGGCGGUCUGCUGGACAGCAACUGACGCUGAGGCGCGAAAGCGUGGGGAGCAAACAGGAUUAGAUACCCUAGUA
RNAcentral lists this ribosomal RNA (445 nucleotides) under uncultured bacterium. RNAcentral describes it as "bacterial SSU rRNA". It matches the Rfam family "Bacterial small subunit ribosomal RNA", at positions 331 to 792 of the family's 1533-position model. The record is from RNAcentral.